AGUGCAAUUACUGGAUCAUAUGGUAAGAGAAUGCUUCAUUUUUUAAUAAACUGCCAAGCUAUUGUUCAAAGGGGAUGUACAAUUUUUCAUUCCCACCAGCAGU
RNAcentral lists this microRNA precursor (103 nucleotides) under Marmota monax (woodchuck). Lineage: Eukaryota; Metazoa; Chordata; Mammalia; Rodentia; Sciuridae. The record is from RNAcentral.